UCUGGUACCGCUUUGCCACCAGACAAAAAAUGCAAAGAGCCCCUGCGGAUAUGUAAGAAAUUGUCCAGCUCCCAGUGCCCUCAACCCAGUGCCCAGGAAUGAAUUAACCCCACAGCACCCUUGCGAAGAAAGGCAAAGCAAGCAAAGUUUCACUGGGCCUGGACAUGAAGUUAAAGAAUUAAUACUAUGUGACGGGUAGGUUGGCAGAAGCACAGAAUAUACACGUGGACUCUAUUUACACCAGCACUGUGGUGGAGUGACCUUGUUUCCUAGGAAUUAUUUUCUGAAUGAUUACAUCUCAGUUCAUAGAAGGCAUACGUUUUGGGAAAAAAGAACAGAUGCACAUCUGGAAUUACAAAGAUAAAGCACCAUUAAUUCAUUCCUCAAAACCACAAAGUUAACAUGGAGAAAACCAAAUAUAGAAGCAGGUGAAGAUUAAAGAGCCAGGAAGGGAAGGCUGGGCAGAAGGAGGCAAAUAGUGGUUAGCACACGUCUAGUUUUUUUAUCAUACUCAUCUCAAAUCCCAAAGCAGCCAUCUUUGAGGCGUAAUAACUCUGUUAUUUCCCCAAGAAAAGGGCAUGUAAGUGUGUAAUCUACAAGUGUAUAACUGCUUAUAUAUAUUUUAUUUCUGGUAAUUUUUGCUUUAUGUAUUUUGAGGUUAUGUUAAUAGACGCAUAUAAGUUUUGAAUUGUUAUAUCUUCCAGUGCAUUGAACUCUGUUGCCUGUUUCUCCUUUUAUUUAUGUUAAUUUUUUGCCUUAUAUAUGUUGAGGCUACAUGACUAGGCACAUAGAAGUUGAGAAUAAUUAUUUUUUUCUGGUGAAUUGGUGCUUUCUCAUUAUGAAACAUGAUUUUCUAAUUAUAAUAAUAUUUCUUAAUUUGCUACUUGAUCAGAUAUUAAUAUAGCUAUAUAUUUGAAUUUUGUGUUAUAUCCUUUUUCAUGCUUUGACUUUCAUAUUUUCUGUGUUCUAAUUUGAAACGUAUACAUCUUGUAAGCAGCUUAUAGUUUUAAAAUCCAGUCUGACAUAUUUAGCUUAGUCCUUUACAUCAAAUGCAUCUGAAUACUUAUGUUUUGAGCACUUUGGGGUAUAUAUGCUCUUCAUUAGUAUCAAGUUUACUUUUAACAAAAAGUUCUAACGGUACCUAUUUUACAUGGUUGAUUUUUGUAACCAAAUAAGAUUUCUUUCAUUUAUUGUUCCAAGAUUUAUUGAGGUAUAAUUAACAAAUACAAAUGUUUAAGGCAUACAAUGUGGUGUUUCGAUAUACAAUGAUCAUUGUGAAAUGAUUACAAUAGUCAAGCUAAUUAACAUAUAGACCUCACAUAGUUAUGUGUGUGUGUGUGUGUGUGUGUGUGUGUGUGUGUGUUGAAAACAUUGAAGCCCUCCUCUCUUAGCAACCUUCAAAUAUACAAUACCAUACAGUAUUGUUAAUUAUAGUCAACAUGGUAUAAUUAGAGCUCCAAAAUAUAUUCAUUCUUACUGAAACUUUGUACCCUGUGACAAACAUCUACAUAUUAAAGUGUGUAAUUUCUAACUCUAAGUAUGUGAUGACCAUUUUUUGGUUUCUAUCCAUAAGUUUCCAGAUACAUGAUAGUAAAAAAGUUUGUUGAACCCAACUGAAAGAAAAGCAUGCAAAAAGGGGUAAGCUUCAAGAUCUCUCAGAGUAAGGACAAUAACAUGACACACGUGUGAAUAUACUUUAGACAGUGUAUACAAUUUAUUUGGUCAAGGUAAGUAAGAUUAGCUUCUAUAAUAAACAAUCUUCAAAAGUAUAGGAGUAUAACACAAUAAAGUGUUUUUUUUCUCAUAUUAUAUCUGGCGUUAUGGCUACAAUGACUGGUUAUUUUAUAAAAACAAUUUUGAUAUAUCUCAAAUACAAAGAAAAAACUCAUCCUCUAAAAAACUCAGUAGUUGUGUAUGAUUAUU
This 1923-nucleotide long non-coding RNA is filed under the name Homo sapiens (human). RNAcentral's name for it is "non-protein coding lnc-TMEM132B-17:1". Lineage: Eukaryota; Metazoa; Chordata; Mammalia; Primates; Hominidae. The record is from RNAcentral.